CCGCGCUAGACGGGGAAGUAGCGGAUCCCUGUACCCGAAAUCCGCUCCAGCGGGGUUGAAUCCCUUCCAGAGGCAGCUGUUUUGUCUGGUCUGCCUCAAGUAAGUGGUGUAGACACCCGGGUCCUGCGCAAUGGGAACCCAUGAAUCAUGUCAGGUCCGGAAGGAAGCAGCAUUAAGUGGAACCUCUCAUGUGCCGCGGGGCAGCCUGGGUCGAGCUAACUGCUUGAGUAACGCAGAUGAAGCACUGUCGAAGGAAGGUGCGCGG
RNAcentral lists this signal recognition particle RNA (265 nucleotides) under Siminovitchia terrae. RNAcentral describes it as "Bacillus terrae signal recognition particle sRNA large type". It matches the Rfam family "Bacterial large signal recognition particle RNA". Rfam says of the family: The signal recognition particle (SRP) is a universally conserved ribonucleoprotein involved in the co-translational targeting of proteins to membranes. Archaeal SRP consists of a 7S RNA and homologues of the eukaryotic SRP19 and SRP54 proteins. The record is from RNAcentral. Lineage: Bacteria; Bacillati; Bacillota; Bacilli; Caryophanales; Bacillaceae.